GCAUAUCAAUAAGCGGAGGAAAAGAAACCAACAGGGAUUGCCCUAGUAACGGCGAGUGAAGCGGCAACAGCUCAAAUUUGAAAUCUGGCUUCGGCCCGAGUUGUAAUUUGCAGAGGAUGCUUUUGGUGCGGUGCCUUCCGAGUUCCCUGGAACGGGACGCCACAGAGGGUGAGAGCCCCGUAUGGUCGGACACCAAUCCUGUGUAAAGCUCCUUCGACGAGUCGAGUAGUUUGGGAAUGCUGCUCUAAAUGGGAGGUAAAUCUCUUCUAAAGCUAAAUACCGGCCAGAGACCGAUAGCGCACAAGUAGAGUGAUCGAAAGAUGAAAAGCACCUUGAAAAGGGGGUUAAACAGUACGUGAAAUUGUUGAAAGGGAAGCACUUGUGACCAGACUUGGGCCGGGCGGCUCAUCAGGGGUUCUCCCCUGUGCAUUCCGCCCGGUACAGGCCAGCAUCGGUUCUUACCGGGGGAUAAGAACGGCAGGAACGUGGCUCCCUCUCGGGGGAGUGUUAUAGCCUGCCGUACGAUACCCUGGCGGGGACCGAGGUUCGCGCUUCCGCAAGGAUGCUGGCGUAAUGGUUACUAGUGACCCGUCUUGAAACACGGACCAAGGAGUCGUCCAUUAGAGCGAGCGUUUGGGUGUAAAACCCGCACGCGUAAUGAAAGUGAAAUUAGGUGAGAGCUUCGGCGCAUCAUCGACCGAUCCUGAUGUUCUCGGAUGGAUUUGAGUAAGAGUUUUAACGGACGGACCCGAAAGACAGUGAACUAUGCUUGUAUAGGGUGAAGCCAGAGGAAACUCUGGUGGAGGCUCGCAGCGGUUCUGACGUGCAAAUCGAUCGUCAAAUAUGAGCAUGG
Molecule: ribosomal RNA, 853 nt
Filed under: Tubakia dryina
Lineage: Eukaryota; Fungi; Ascomycota; Sordariomycetes; Diaporthales; Tubakiaceae
Description: eukaryotic LSU rRNA
Rfam family: Eukaryotic large subunit ribosomal RNA
Source: RNAcentral